Molecule: long non-coding RNA, 947 nt
Filed under: Rattus norvegicus (Norway rat)
Lineage: Eukaryota; Metazoa; Chordata; Mammalia; Rodentia; Muridae
Description: long non-coding RNA NONRATT032203
Source: RNAcentral
CUUGGAAUGGGAAGAAGGACAGAGCUUGGUUUCUUCUCUCAGGGAUCUUAAGGUGGGCUACAGCCUCUAAGCUGAUGCUGAUGUUCAACUAUAGCAUAGGUGCUGAGAGGAACUGUCUCCACACAACAGGCCUACAAAAGUCUUCCGCUGCAUAGAAUCUGGUUCAGCAAGACCACACACUUCUCUUUCAAAGGAAUUCAAGUCUCUGGAAGCUAGGAGGUCCUCCACAGUCCUCUGCCAUUUUCUUCCCUCCGAGGGGAAGCAAAUCUUUGUCAGUCCACAGACAGUGAAUGGGUCUCUAAAUUCCCGAGUCAUCAGAGUGGCUGGAGGCCAGGGAACCUGCCAGGUCCCCACACUGAUGGCUUUUGUUCCCUGUGGGUCAUACGGAAACCACCACCCAUGGACGCUCUGCUGACGGGAAGAGCGCUCUGUGAAUUGUCAGGCUCGGCUGAAGCAAGCACGCUUCCUUGUGGGCAGGACACAUGACAGCCUCCAACGGAGUCACCCACGGAGCAACCUAUAGUCUAGUGUGAGCUGACACACACUGGGUGUCUCCCAGAAGCUCGAGUACCUGGCAGAUUCACCUGGACGCCAGCCACCCCGAUGACUCAGGAAUUUAGGUGAAGGACGCUGCUAGGCUCACAACCCCUGAAGGUUAGCCACGGGACACAGAUGGACUCUCAAUUUGUUAUCUGCAGAUUUGGCUGGACACUACUCUCAAACAGGAUAUUAAAUGGGAGGCUUUAAUAAAUAUCCCAAUGGAUCAGUCCGAACUGAAUUCUUUCUCAUUCCCUAGAGUGGCCUAGAGUAAAUGGCUAACCUGUGUAGCCCAGAGAUAAAGACAGUACAGUUAGUACUAAGAAAUCUAGGCUAGAAAGUGAAAUUAUUUCUGAAUCCUGCAAAAAUCCCUGGGAUUUUCCUUCACCACGGGACCAGCUUCAGUGGAG